AUGCUGUCCCGACAGAAAACCAAAAACGAAGUGUCCAAGCCGGCCGAGGUGCAGGGGAAGUACGUGAAGAAGGAGACGUCGCCUCUGCUUCGGAAUCUUAUGCCUUCAUUCAUCCAGCAUGGUCCAAAAAUUCCAGGACGAACUGAUAUCUGUCUUCCAGAUUCAAGCCCUAAUGCCUUUUCAACUUCUGGAGAUGGAGUAGUUUCAAGAAACCAGAGUUUCCUUAGAACUCCAAUUCAAAGAACACCUCAUAAAAUAAUGAGAAGAGAAAGCAACAGAUUAUCUGCACCUUCUUAUCUUGCCAGAAGUCUAGCAGAUGUCCCUAGAGAGUAUGGUUCUUCUCAGUCAUUUGUAACGGAAGUUAGUUUUGCUGUUGAAAAUGGAGACUCUGGUUCCCGAUAUUAUUAUUCAGACAAUUUUGUUGAUGGUCAGAGAAAGCGGCCACUUGGAGAUCGUGCACAUGAAGACUACAGAUAUUAUGAAUACAACCAUGAUCUCUUCCAAAGAAUGCCACAGAAUCAGGGGAGGCAUGCUUCAGGU
This 540-nucleotide long non-coding RNA is filed under the name Homo sapiens (human). RNAcentral describes it as "non-protein coding lnc-GYPE-2:1". The record is from RNAcentral. Lineage: Eukaryota; Metazoa; Chordata; Mammalia; Primates; Hominidae.